This 499-nucleotide ribosomal RNA is filed under the name uncultured bacterium. RNAcentral describes it as "partial 16S ribosomal RNA". It matches the Rfam family "Bacterial small subunit ribosomal RNA", at positions 28 to 507 of the family's 1533-position model. The record is from RNAcentral.
GACGAACGCUGGCGGCGUGCCUAAUACAUGCAAGUCGAGCGGACUUUCAAGAAGCUUGCUUUUUGAAGGUUAGCGGCGGACGGGUGAGUAACACGUGGGCAACCUGCCUGCAAGACGGGGAUAACUCCGGGAAACCGGGGCUAAUACCGGAUAAUAUCUUCCUUCGCAUGAAGGAAGGUUGAAAGGCGGCGCAAGCUGCCGCUUGCAGAUGGGCCCGCGGCGCAUUAGCUAGUUGGUGAGGUAACGGCUCACCAAGGCGACGAUGCGUAGCCGACCUGAGAGGGUGAUCGGCCACACUGGGACUGAGACACGGCCCAGACUCCUACGGGAGGCAGCAGUAGGGAAUCUUCCGCAAUGGACGAAAGUCUGACGGAGCAACGCCGCGUGAGCGAAGAAGGUCUUCGGAUCGUAAAGCUCUGUUGUCAGGGAAGAACAAGUACCGUUCGAACAGGGCGGUACCUUGACGGUACCUGACCAGAAAGCCACGGCUAACUACGUG